GAUGAACGCUGGCGGCGUGCCUAAUACAUGCAAGUCGAGCGAACAGACGAGGAGCUUGCUCCUCUGACGUUAGCGGCGGACGGGUGAGUAACACGUGGAUAACCUACCUAUAAGACUGGGAUAACUUCGGGAAACCGGAGCUAAUACCGGAUAAUAUAUUGAACCGCAUGGUUCAAUAGUGAAAGACGGUUUUGCUGUCACUUAUAGAUGGAUCCGCGCCGCAUUAGCUAGUUGGCAAGGUAACGGCUUACCAAGGCAACGAUGCGUAGCCGACCUGAGAGGGGGAUCGGCCACACUGGAACUGAGACACGGUCAAGACUCCUACGGGAGGCAGCAGUAGGGAAUCUGACGCAAUGGGCGAAAGCUUGACGGAGCAACGCCGCGUGAGUGAUGAAGGUCUUCGGAUCGUAAAACUCUGUUAUUAGGGAAGAACAAAUGUGUAAGUAACUAUGCACGUCUUGACGGUACCUAAUCAGAAAGCCACGGCUAACUACGUG
Molecule: ribosomal RNA, 497 nt
Filed under: uncultured bacterium
Lineage: Bacteria
Description: partial 16S ribosomal RNA
Rfam family: Bacterial small subunit ribosomal RNA
Source: RNAcentral